AUAACAUUCCACAUCUAUCAGUUAAAAUGUUUCCUCCCUGGAAACUGAUUUUGAAAUACUAAAUCCAUAAAACCACAGAAAAGUCAAUUUGAAAACUGUUCCCCACACGAGAACCAUUCUUUUUCAAAACCAGCUACCACGAGGGGUAGAAAACUGUUUUAUUUCGAGAAAACACCAAUCUUUUAGCUCAUUCCAAAACCAGUUGAAAAUCCAGAUGAUCAGAUAAUAAAACAAAACUGAACCAUGUAAACCGUCUAAGCUAUAUGUAUCCACAGAAAUAAUGAGGGUAAUAACUAAAUCGAGAUAACCUGGGUCGGAAGCUCUAUCGACCGCUACACGCGUAUCUCACGUCUCGUCCUACUACUCAUCGCCCGCGAUACCUGAAACAUGGUGGGGGAGGUGAGAACAUGUAAACAUGUCUCCCCUCCCAGUGGGUACCGCAAGCCGAAGAAGGCGAGGUGUACUCACCGGAUCAGGAAGAGAUAACUAACAGUAUGGGUAAGUAAAAUACAGUAGCAACGAUAAUGAACGAACGAGAUAUAUAUAUAUGAGAACACAACUACCGCUACUGUAAUGUACAACUGCAAGCAUACAAGGAUAUCAAAAUUAUAGUAGCAAGACAACUGUAAAGAAAGAACUAGAAGUAUAUAUGCAACAACCGCUACUAUAGCUAUAUGCGUCAACCGGACGAGGAGUCCAAAAGUACCCAAUCUAAACCGCCGUGUCGGUCUAAGGACCUCAGACAAAAGCCACUAUCUGCUCACACUUGGCAUGUAACCCUAGCACAAAGAGAACACCGCUUGGCUCACGGGUCGGAUGUACGACCACUUUUCCGGAAAAGAACACCCUCCUGCGGGGGAUCAACCCGCUGGUGUACGUGAAAUGCACUCGAGCUGUGGCGAUCAAUGCGGAUAUGAUCAAUAGCCAACCGUCGGCAAUCAGCCGACAAUCACCGCCCCUUGGGGCUAAUCGACCGUGUAGGUCAUCAAGUAACAACGUGAACCGACCAAGAGAGGUCAAUAUACGGAAAGUAACGAACGACCAAACAGGUCACCGAUGCAAACAGGAGAACCGACCAACCAGGUCACAAGUAUAGUAUAUACGAAUGCCGUCUACUCUACCCCUAUACAGGAUACUACACAUAGAACAACUAGGCAGAGUAAAUAAAGAUAAUAUGUAGAUACUGCUCGAUGUCAACUAAAAGUACGAACGCAAGAACCGACCGAUAGGUCACAGGAGUGUAUUCGAUAUAGUCCAGAACUACCGUCAGCACCAGCCGACAAUCCUACCCCUCAGGGUACACCGACCUCAAAGGUCAUCGAACGACAGAAGUCAAGAAAUAGACCAACCCACUACAUAAUGCAACAACCGACCAACCAGGUCACCGAAACAAAGUGCGAGAACCGACCAAUCAGGUCACCGGUAUCAUAUAUGGAUAAACUACUCUAUUCCUACACAUAAUACUAAGCAUAGAAACAUAAGAGUAGAGUAUAAUAGAAACAACGGGGAUGCAAGCUCAAUAUACUAUGCGAUAGUAACAACAGAAGGGUAAGGGUAAGAAACCAUCACCAAGCGUGCACCACUGUACCGACGUCGGAUCGAAGUACCCACCUGUACGGAUGUCGCGUCUGUCUCCUGACUGCAAAAGAAAGUCGACAGAACCUAUAGAGGGUCCACCGGGUUAGUAUCUAACCCACAACUAAUAAUCACAGUAUCCACAACCCCACAAACGGUUCCACGAAGAUCGGUUUCCCCAAUACCGAUUACCGUAACUCGCCGGAAGUCCCGAAAACCACACUGGGACGCCGUCGGGACCCACUAAGUGUCCCGAAACUCACCGACUCGUGUCACGAGUCACCUGCUGCCCCAAAACACUCCAAUUUGGAUGUUUUGGCAGCAAACACAAGAUAACACCCCUACACAAUUAUCGCCGGAUAAUUGUACGAAUCCGGGUUCCCGAAAGUGUCUAUUUCGACACCGGAACCCUCCGUCGCUCACCUAUCAUCAUCGAACCUACAAAAUAAUGAUGGUGACCAGCCAACAAGGCUCAGCGACAAAACACAGAGCAAACAAACACUGUCGAAAAGAAUCCGAACCGAAAUCGCGUUCUUUCGACGAAUUUCGUCGAAAAACGCACCGAAAUCGACCUUUCGAUUUCCGCGAAAGCUACAGGAUCAUGGACACUCAGUCCAGAGGUCAAACACACACUUACACGCUGCCCACAGUAGCCACAAGGCGUACAAUUGCACAAAAGCCCCUAUGUUUACAUAAAAUCCAUUAUUUUAUGUAAAUCGGGCGACUCCUAUGACUCGUUCUCUCAAACUGAGGACCUCUAAGUUCCGCCGAGACACGUACUGACAGGUCUCGACGUGCCGGAGGCCGUGCUCACGGUCUGGAGCGCAACAGGUCACUGUGGGAAGCGCGGGAGCAACCCGAAGUUCUACGAACAGCGCGCAGUCGGGGAAGAUCGCGCCAAACAGGGCUGACCGGACACUGUUGAUCCAAAUUGAGGUGAGCAAUGUGAUCAGCACUGACCCACGAUCACCGUGCUCACCUCCGGAGGCAUCAGGACAGCCUCAGAUCGCCGGAUAAGCGUGCGCAAACCCAAAAACAGCAGCCAAACAGGCUUGACAGGGUCGACACUGCCGAAACAGCGGAACGGAGUCUCCCCGGCAAAAUCCAAGGUGAGCACGAUGAUCAGAAAUGAGUCACGAUCAUCGUGCUCCCUUCCGUAUUGAUCAGGGAGGCUCGGGAAGCUCAGAACACGAAUCCGUCCUAAACUAAGCCCUAUUUCGGGCUUGGCCGGAGCAAGGUUGCUCCGGCCGGCUUCCGGCAGCACGGCGGCAUGCGCGGCGGCCAGGGACGGGUGCGGGGGAGGUGAGGAGUACCGUGCUCACCUCGGUUGGCGGCUGGAAGCGGCGGCGGCGACGGCCAAUGAUGCCCUAGGCAUCCAAACCCGAAAAGGACACGGCUCGCUCCGGCCGACGAGGAGCUC
RNAcentral lists this long non-coding RNA (2995 nucleotides) under Ananas comosus (pineapple). RNAcentral describes it as "long non-coding RNA (ACOM_LNC016870)". Lineage: Eukaryota; Viridiplantae; Streptophyta; Magnoliopsida; Poales; Bromeliaceae. The record is from RNAcentral.